RNAcentral lists this transfer RNA (67 nucleotides) under Marmota monax (woodchuck). RNAcentral's name for it is "tRNA.Gly". Lineage: Eukaryota; Metazoa; Chordata; Mammalia; Rodentia; Sciuridae. The record is from RNAcentral.
GGUUAUGGUUUAGCAGUAGAGCUCUUACCUACCAAGUGCGAGGUCCUGGGUUCGAUUCUCAGCACCA